CAGAUCUACGGGCACAAAGGAUUCCACAUUAGACUUGAUAGAAUGCUAGGACACGUCAGAAGGCAUGCAUGCAGUGGUGCAUACUGUACAGGCAUGUCUAAGGAAAACCCAAACUGGGGCUUUCAGGGCGAAUGGUGAAGAACUCGGUCCUUCACUCGGACCGGAGGCAGAUUGGUGAUUUUAAGGAUGGGCUCUGGACUGAAAGUCCUGCAUGUAUGUGAGGCAUCAAACCAGUAUGGCCGAGUUACUGGGACUCUAUUUGUCUUUACAGGUGAUUCCCAGAGCUGCUAUGAAGAUCUUCUUGCAGUGAUUUUUGUCUUUUCUGCACUUGUUUAUUUUUUGUCAUUUAUUGUCUGCAUGCGGCAUUGAGCCUUUUCAUUGUGUUCAUCCAUCCUUGUGCUGAUUUUCCACCAUCCUGACAGCAGAGGGUGAACAGAGCAAAGGCCGGAUUUAGACAACCGCAGUUUUCACAGUUCAAUUGGUCACCCAGAGCUGUGCCACAGGCUGCCACUGGAAAUUAGAAUGACCCAGUCCUCCCAGUCUUGGCGCUUGGGUGGAAGCUCGGUGGGCGGCGCCCUGGGGUAGCGGCUGGUGCUGGGAGUUUCAUCCGUUCUCCCGCACGUCAGAGGGCAGUCCGGAGUGGAUGGGCCUGUGUGUCUGUGUCUCUGUGUGUGGGUGUCUGUGUAUGUUGUGGAGAUGUGUGUAUGGUGUAUGUGCAUGGCUGCGAGGUGUGUUUGCGGGGUGUUUGUGUGGAUGGUGGGAGCCUGGGUCUGGGGCUUGCUGCUCCGUCCUGGGUGCAGUUGAUCUCCGGGGCAUGGUUGCUGGCCCCUUUCUUCGGGGUGGGGGCUUGGGUCUCUCCGGCGUGGAUGGGGCUCUCUACUGGGGGCUGGUCGCACCCGGCCACCUGGGGUCCUAGGGGCCCUGGCCUUGGUUCGUACGGGACCGGCUGCGCCCUCGCGGGGUUGGCUACCUGUUGCCUCUGGUUCUCUGGGGCUCAUGCCCUUUUGGCUCCAGGGGCUGAGUCUGGGACCUCCCUCCUCCCCCAGCUGGGGUGGGGGCGCGGCUAUCAUUAGGACGUGGGGCCUCGGCUCUCCCAUGCUCUUUGGGGGCUGUGGACAUCCUGGGCCUCCUGGGUCUGUCUCUGCCAACCUCUGGCUCUUGUGGGGUGUGGUUGCGGCCUCCCACCUUUGCUAUUUAGUACAUUCCAUGUUGAAAACACACGCACACAACACACACACGCAACACAUGCACACAGCACAUGCACACUAGCCUGCAUCUUGCCUACACAAUUGAGCACACAUGUACACAUACUUGCUUGCACCCAUCCAAGCACACUCUAAGAUUUUAUAUGCUUGUAUAGUUGUGUUACUGUCUGCACGCUCAUGCUCAUAUGUCCCUCCUCUCCGGCCAGCUCACACACUGCAAUGUUUUUACAUGUGUUAAAAGUGAAAUAAAUAAAUAAAAUUGAAAUAAAAAGAAAUCGAUCAACAUGAGGGGCCCAUACAGAGUUUAUAGAGCCCCUCAUGGUAAAGCAAACAUGUUUGGCACAGCAGUGCAUUCAGACCGUGAUUCUGCUAAAGCUGCCAGACAGGACAAAGGGAUAAAAAAAAGAAAAAAAAUGACCCAGUCCUUAGAUAACUUUCAGUCUCUGUUGGACAAUUUUUUUUUCAUUAGCUUUUAACACAUAUUAGCUUUUAAACACUUAUAUACAAAUUCUAUGUGCCUUUAGUUCUGUGUAAAAGUGGAGCCAUGCCGUCUCGGCUCUCUGGAUACUUGUAUAUAUCGGAAAUGACAAUAAAGUUCUCUUUGACUUA
Long non-coding RNA from Brienomyrus brachyistius, 1814 nucleotides. RefSeq lists it as uncharacterized. NCBI's taxonomy places the organism in Eukaryota, Metazoa, Chordata, Actinopteri, Osteoglossiformes, Mormyridae. The record is from RefSeq and is a predicted model, not a curated record. The transcript is spliced from 3 exons.